This 590-nucleotide ribosomal RNA is filed under the name Belonolaimus longicaudatus. RNAcentral describes it as "SSU rRNA". It matches the Rfam family "Eukaryotic small subunit ribosomal RNA", at positions 1026 to 1643 of the family's 1831-position model. Lineage: Eukaryota; Metazoa; Nematoda; Chromadorea; Rhabditida; Belonolaimidae. The record is from RNAcentral.
CUGACCGUAAACGAUGCCAACUAGCGAUCCGCCGGUGGUUUUUUUGCCCUGGUGGGGAGCUUCCCGGAAACGAAAGUCUUCCGGUUCCGGGGGAAGUAUGGUUGCAAAGCUGAAACUUAAAGGAAUUGACGGAAGGGCACCACCAGGAGUGGAGCCUGCGGCUUAAUUUGACUCAACACGGGGAAACUCACCCGGCCCGGACACCGUAAGGAUUGACAGAUUGAUAGCUUUUUCAUGAUUCGGUGGAUGGUGGUGCAUGGCCGUUCUUAGUUCGUGGAGCGAUUUGUCUGGUUUAUUCCGAUAACGAGCGAGACUCUAGCCUACUAACUAGUCCACACAUUGUCACUGUGUGCGCGACUUCUUAGAGGGAUUUUCGGUGUACAGCCGCACGAAAUUGAGCAAUAACAGGUCUGUGAUGCCCUUAGAUGUCCGGGGCUGCACGCGCGCUACACUGGCAAAAUCAGCGUGCUUGUCCUUCCCCGAAAGGGGCGGGUAAACCCUUGAAAAUUUGCCGUGAUUGGGAUCGGAAAUUGCAAUUAUUUUCCGUGAACGAGGAAUUCCAAGUAAGUGCGAGUCAUCAACUCGCGUUG